RNAcentral lists this ribosomal RNA (271 nucleotides) under uncultured prokaryote. RNAcentral describes it as "partial 16S ribosomal RNA". It matches the Rfam family "Bacterial small subunit ribosomal RNA", at positions 524 to 794 of the family's 1533-position model. The record is from RNAcentral.
UACGGAGGAUCCGAGCGUUAUCCGGAUUUAUUGGGUUUAAAGGGUGCGCAGGCGGAAGAUUAAGUCGGCGGUGAAAUUUUGCAGCUCAACUGUAAAAGUGCCUUCGAAACUGGUUUCCUUGAGUGUAGAUGAAGUAGGCGGAAUUUGUGGUGUAGCGGUGAAAUGCGUAGACAUAACGAAGAACACCAAUUGCGUAGGCAGCUUACCAUACUGCAACUGACGCUGAGGCACGAAAGUGUGGGUAUCAAACAGGAUUAGAUACCCUGGUAGU